Molecule: small nuclear RNA, 101 nt
Filed under: Peromyscus maniculatus bairdii (prairie deer mouse)
Lineage: Eukaryota; Metazoa; Chordata; Mammalia; Rodentia; Cricetidae
Source: RNAcentral
UGCUCACUUUGGCAGCAUUACACUGAAGUCAGAAUGAUCCAGAGAGGAUUAGCAGGGCCCCUGUGCAGAGAUAACUAAUCUGUGAAGACUUCCAAGGUUCU